This 557-nucleotide ribosomal RNA is filed under the name uncultured Alphaproteobacteria bacterium. Its description in RNAcentral is "bacterial SSU rRNA". It matches the Rfam family "Bacterial small subunit ribosomal RNA", at positions 1 to 534 of the family's 1533-position model. Lineage: Bacteria; Pseudomonadati; Pseudomonadota; Alphaproteobacteria. The record is from RNAcentral.
ACGCGUUGGGAGCUCUCCCUAUGGUCGACCUGCAGGCGGCCGCGAAUUCACUAGUGAUUAGAGUUUGAUCAUGGCUCAGAACGAACGCUUUCGGUAUGCUUAACACAUGCAAGUCGAACGGAUUUAUUUAGAGCUUGCUUUAAAUAAAUUAGUGGCAGACGGGUGAGUAACACGUGGGAAUCUGCCCAUCAGUACGGAAUAACAUUUAGAAAUAAUUGCUAAUACCGUAUAUUCUCUUUGGAGGAAAGAUUUAUCGCUGAUGGAUGAGCCCGCGCCAGAUUAGGUAGUUGGUAGGGUAAUGGCCUACCAAGCCAAUGAUCUGUAGCUGGUUUGAGAGAAUGAUCAGCCACACUGGGACUGAGACACGGCCCAGACUCCUACGGGAGGCAGCAGUGGGGAAUAUUGGACAAUGGGCGAAAGCCUGAUCCAGCAAUACCGAGUGGGUGAUGAAGGCCUUAGGGUUGUAAAGCCCUUUUCAGCAGGGAAGAUAAUGACGGUACCUGACCAAGAAAGCCCCGGCUAACUCCGUGCCAGCAGCCGCGGUAAUACGAAUCGAA